RNAcentral lists this transfer RNA (87 nucleotides) under Micromonospora ureilytica. Its description in RNAcentral is "tRNA-Ser". It matches the Rfam family "tRNA". Rfam says of the family: Transfer RNA (tRNA) molecules are approximately 80 nucleotides in length. Their secondary structure includes four short double-helical elements and three loops (D, anti-codon, and T loops). Further hydrogen bonds mediate the characteristic L-shaped molecular structure. tRNAs have two regions of fundamental functional importance: the anti-codon, which is responsible for specific mRNA codon recognition, and the 3' end, to which the tRNAs corresponding amino acid is attached (by aminoacyl-tRNA synthetases). tRNAs cope with the degeneracy of the genetic code in two manners: having more than one tRNA (with a specific anti-codon) for a particular amino acid; and 'wobble' base-pairing, i.e. permitting non-standard base-pairing at the 3rd anti-codon position. The record is from RNAcentral. Lineage: Bacteria; Bacillati; Actinomycetota; Actinomycetes; Micromonosporales; Micromonosporaceae.
GGAGGGGUCCCGGCGGUCACGGGGACACCGUUGGAAACGGUGUAGGGGGCGGAAGUCUCCUCGUGGGUUCGAAUCCCACCCCUUCCG